Molecule: long non-coding RNA, 300 nt
Filed under: Medicago truncatula (barrel medic)
Lineage: Eukaryota; Viridiplantae; Streptophyta; Magnoliopsida; Fabales; Fabaceae
Description: long non-coding RNA (MTRU_LNC006908)
Source: RNAcentral
UUGACCAAUUAUUAGCCAACACAUCAUAAGGGUCUGAAGUAAUUAGGGAUUUGAAUGCUAGAAGAGCAGAUUGAUCAGUUGUGAUGUUUUUUGUAUUUGCAGCUAAGCAAGCAAUAAAACAACAAUGCAAUGAAAGCGAUAAAAGAAAGAGAUGAGAUGAUAGAUUAACCAUUUUCCGGUAAUGUGUGUGAAUAAUUGAUGAGGCAAGGGACUGACAGGAAUGAUACAUAUAUAUUAACCACUAUUUGUUGGUGGUUUGUGUGGUUCAAGUCAACCAGGUCAACAAAGAUAGAUAUUAAA